GACCUCGGAUCAGGUAGGGAUACCCGCUGAACUUAAGCAUAUCAAUAAGCGGAGGAAAAGAAACCAACAGGGAUUGCCCUAGUAACGGCGAGUGAAGCGGCAACAGCUCAAAUUUGAAAUCUGGCUCUUUCAGAGUCCGAGUUGUAAUUUGCAGAGGGCGCUUUGGCUUUGGCAGCGGUCCAAGUUCCUUGGAACAGGACGUCACAGAGGGUGAGAAUCCCGUACGUGGUCGCUAGCUAUUGCCGUGUAAAGCCCCUUCGACGAGUCGAGUUGUUUGGGAAUGCAGCUCUAAAUGGGAGGUAAAUUUCUUCUAAAGCUAAAUAUUGGCCAGAGACCGAUAGCGCACAAGUAGAGUGAUCGAAAGAUGAAAAGCACUUUGGAAAGAGAGUCAAACAGCACGUGAAAUUGUUGAAAGGGAA
Molecule: ribosomal RNA, 419 nt
Filed under: Curvularia shahidchamranensis
Lineage: Eukaryota; Fungi; Ascomycota; Dothideomycetes; Pleosporales; Pleosporaceae
Description: partial large subunit ribosomal RNA
Rfam family: Eukaryotic large subunit ribosomal RNA
Source: RNAcentral